CCGACGGGUGACCGCCCGCUCGGAUACUGACCUCGGUACCUGAUACGGCCGGGGCAG
Non-coding RNA from Streptomyces sp. Root431, 57 nucleotides. Lineage: Bacteria; Bacillati; Actinomycetota; Actinomycetes; Kitasatosporales; Streptomycetaceae. The record is from Rfam.